GGGUAACUAAGCUGUCAUUAGCUAAUAUGGUGCUCGUAUUGUAGUUUUAAUAGGCUUUAUAUUAUGGUGAGGUACAAUUCUGCAUCUUUUUUGGUGGCAUAGAGAUAGCCAAUGUUAAUUUCAUUCUGCUUCAGGGUGUCUCCGUCCAAAAAAACCCAGUCUGCUUCAGGGUGAUAGAUCUUUUUGAACCUAAGCAAUGUCAAACCAUUUGAUAAACCAGACAAGCUAGGGAACAUCACAAGUGCAGAGUCCUGUACAUCAGGAUUGUUCUUCUUCUUCUAAUUAUGCUGUGUCUAACUGUAAUUGCGGCUAUCAAAUAUGUGGUCAACUGGUCAUUCAGUUAUGAAAAGAUGUCUAGAUACUGCAUUUCAGAAUCCAUUAGGAACAAAAUAGUUGUUGGGUGUUGGAUGUAGAAGUUGGUUCUUCCUAUGCUUCUUGUGACUUUUGCAUUUUGGAAAUGUCGGGAAAAUAUUCUGUGUUGUCAAGGUAUCAUUUAUUAUUUCCUUUGUAAAUAUGAGAAAUCACAUUGUUGGUUUUUCUAGAUGUUGGAUUUAUACGAGGAUCUUGGAAUGCAUAUUAGGAUCUUGAGUGGAUAUGGUCUUGCCUACAACAAAUGUUGUUGUGGAGGUAUGCUGUUUUCUAGAUGGCAGCUUCGGAAUCUUUUAUGGUGUCUCUCCUCUAAUGAGCAUCAUGAAAUGUCCAUCGAUGCUAAGAUUGGGAACAAGAAGAUCAUGGAUUUUGAUGGUCAAGCUGGAGUGGCAUACUAGAACUUCACUUUGAAUUUGGGAUCGCCAUCUGGCAAGCUAAUAAGACACUAAUUGGUUCUUUCACUUCCUGUUAAUUGGUCUUUAAACAACACAAACUUAAAUUAUUGACUAGAACUCUUCCUUAACUAGGUAACUUGCAUGGCUUCAUACUUGUCAUUGUUUUCUCUUUGGGAUGGUGAAAUGGUAACGGGUUUCUGCAUGUCUACUUUGAUUAUGGCCACUCCGACGUGGAAGUGGCAUCAAGGCAGUCGGAUGAAAGUUGUUAAGCGGAAGGUUGGAUAUUAAAUUGAGUUGUUUCUGGACAUUUUGCAGAUCUCCAUCAAGAUCCAGAUCCCCAGUACCAUCUCGCCCAAAACGUGUGAGCAAAAGCCCAAAACCUCGCGACUCCAGGAGAAGCCAGAGCUUGAGUAAAAGCCCAAAACCUCGUGAUUCCAGGAGAAGCGAGAGUCCAAGCAAGAGCCCCAAACUGCGUGAUUCCAGGAGAAGCAAGAGCAUGAGUAAAAGCCCCGAACCACGCAAUUCCAGGAGGAGCCCCAGCAGGAGCAAAAGCCCCAAACCACGCAAUUCCAGGAGAAGCCCUAGCAGGAGCCGCAGCCGGAGUCGCAGUGGGAGUUUGUCGAGGUGAGAGCUAUAUUGUGGAUUAAGCUGUUGCUGCAGGUGCGGAGAUAGAGAGUGUGCUGCUGUGCCUGAAUAGAGCAGCUGAGCUGUUGGUGUCAUCUUUUCCGAUAACUAGUCCUGAUGAAUGGCUUCUGAAUUUUUUGGUCCAUGACCAAAAUAGAACUCAACUGUGAACCUUUGACUUGGGGAAGACUGCAGUAUUCUAGUAUUUUAAGCAACUUUGCAGCAUGUAUGAUGGCAAAAAUUGAAAAUUAUGUCUUGGAUAUUUGCAGAUUUUGUUAUUUGUUUCCUGCAGGUGAAAUGCUACUUAUGUAAUGACAUUGUCUGCACUCUUGUGACUUUGUAAGUUCUUU
This 1738-nucleotide unclassified non-coding RNA is filed under the name Hevea brasiliensis (rubber tree). The record is from RNAcentral. Lineage: Eukaryota; Viridiplantae; Streptophyta; Magnoliopsida; Malpighiales; Euphorbiaceae.